RNAcentral lists this long non-coding RNA (362 nucleotides) under Elaeis guineensis (African oil palm). Its description in RNAcentral is "long non-coding RNA (EGUI_LNC000869)". The record is from RNAcentral. Lineage: Eukaryota; Viridiplantae; Streptophyta; Magnoliopsida; Arecales; Arecaceae.
CAACAUGGUUAGAGCUCUCAAGGUGGAAGUGGAAUACCAUAACAAAAUGAAGCACCCUUAUCCUACUCUUCAUUUGAUACUCAUAAAGUGGUGCAUGUUCCAAAAUCACCACCAAAUCAAUUCCAUAAUAAUAAUAUCCAGGAGAUGCUUAAAAAGAAACCAACUUUUUUAAUGGAAAAUAUAGAGGUAAUAUCAGGUCUCAGGAGGGGAUUGUUACAGAUACCAAGAUAAUAAAGCGUUUUUGGAAGUUUAAAAAUCUUGAGAUUUAUGGAAGUUAAGGAUUUUAAAACUCUUCCCUCUAGUCUUUUCACUCUUGCAUCCAUAGGUGUGUUGAGCUAUGUGCCAACAUCUGAGCAACGUGU